UACGGGGGGGGCAAGCGUUGUUCGGAAUUACUGGGCGUAAAGGGCGCGUAGGCGGCGCGGUAAGUCACUUGUGAAAUCUCUGAGCUUAACUCAGAACGGCCAAGUGAUACUGCAGUGCUAGAGUGUGGAAGGGGCAAUCGGAAUUCUUGGUGUAGCGGUGAAAUGCGUAGAUAUCAAGAGGAACACCUGAGGUGAAGACGGGUUGCUGGGCCAACACUGACGCUGAGGCGCGAAAGCCAGGGGAGCAAACGGG
This 253-nucleotide ribosomal RNA is filed under the name uncultured bacterium. RNAcentral describes it as "partial 16S ribosomal RNA". It matches the Rfam family "Bacterial small subunit ribosomal RNA", at positions 524 to 776 of the family's 1533-position model. The record is from RNAcentral.